CGAGGACGACGCUGGCGGCGUGCCUAACACAUGCAAGUCGAACGGGGUUGAGAGCUUCGGCUCUUAACUUAGUGGCGAACGGGUGAGUAACGCGUGAGAAACCUGCCUCUCAGUGGGGGGACAACAGUUGGAAACGACUGCUAAUACCGCAUAACAUUACCGGAGGGCAUCCUCUGGUAAUCAAAGCUUUAUGUGCUGAGAGAUGGUCUCGCGUCUGAUUAGCUAGAUGGCGGGGUAACGGCCCACCAUGGCGACGAUCAGUAGCCGGUCUGAGAGGAUGAACGGCCACAUUGGGACUGAGAUACGGCCCAGACUCCUACGGGAGGCAGCAGUGGGGAAUAUUGGGCAAUGGGCGCAAGCCUGACCCAGCAACGCCGCGUGAAGGAAGAAGGCCUUCGGGUUGUAAACUUCUUUUACCAGGGACGAAUAAUGACGGUACCUGGAGAAAAGCAACGGCUAACUACGUG
This 467-nucleotide ribosomal RNA is filed under the name uncultured bacterium. RNAcentral describes it as "bacterial SSU rRNA". It matches the Rfam family "Bacterial small subunit ribosomal RNA", at positions 33 to 507 of the family's 1533-position model. The record is from RNAcentral.